Felis catus (domestic cat) is the source of this 414-nucleotide long non-coding RNA. RefSeq lists it as uncharacterized. NCBI's taxonomy places the organism in Eukaryota, Metazoa, Chordata, Mammalia, Carnivora, Felidae. The record is from RefSeq and is a predicted model, not a curated record. The transcript has 2 exons.
ACCAUGGGGUGGGGGUGGGGGUGGGGGUGGGGGAGAGCUCAUUUCAAAUGUGGACUUUGCAGCCCACCCUGGACCCACCGAAUCGGAAAUCCAGCGACUAGAAACAUUUUUCUUAAAAAAAAGUUGUGAAGAAAGUCUAUAGCAAACUUCAAACUGACAAAAUAUAGGAUACAUUCCCAUACAAGACAGGAACUAUGUCUAGUAAAAACCCAAGGCUGAGCAAGAAAAUGGAAUGUUUCAAGGCCAAGAGAAAGACUUGAUCUAAAGGCCCAAAUGGCAGCUUUGCCCCAAGGGAGGUAAAAACUCAGCCGGGCUUCUCCAAGUGUCUUUACGAUUCAUGGCAAACUCUGUGGUGGGAAAUGUUUAUUAUGUAUUAUUAAGUGGAAAAAACACAGAAUAAUAUCUAUGCCCUGA